ACGAACGCUGGCGGCGUGCUUAACACAUGCAAGUCGAACGGAAAGGCCCUGCUUUUGUCGGGUGCUCGAGUGGCGAACGGGUGAGUAACACGUGAGUAACCUGCCCUUGACUUUGGGAUAACUUCAGGAAACUGGGGCUAAUACCGGAUAGGAGCUCCUGCUGCAUGGUGGGGGUUGGAAAGUUUCGGCGGUUGGGGAUGGACUCGCGGCUUAUCAGCUUGUUGGUGGGGUAGUGGCUUACCAAGGCUUUGACGGGUAGCCGGCCUGAGAGGGUGACCGGCCACAUUGGGACUGAGAUACGGCCCAGACUCCUACGGGAGGCAGCAGUGGGGAAUAUUGCACAAUGGGCGGAAGCCUGAUGCAGCAACGCCGCGUGCGGGAUGACGGCCUUCGGGUUGUAAACCGCUUUCGCCUGUGACGAAGCGUGAGUGACGGUAAUGGGUAAAGAAGCACCGGCUAACUACGUG
Molecule: ribosomal RNA, 467 nt
Filed under: uncultured bacterium
Lineage: Bacteria
Description: partial 16S ribosomal RNA
Rfam family: Bacterial small subunit ribosomal RNA
Source: RNAcentral